AACCCUGUGGUUCUUCAGUGUGAGUUCUGGAAGCUGAAGGAUGUUUACCAAGCUGCUGGUGGGAUGUGCUCGGCCUCCCAGGCCUGCCAUCUGGUUGCCACGUGAUUACCAGGCCCCUGUGGGCCCUAAGAGCCGUGCUUUCUUUCCAGAACAGUCUCCUCACCUCAACUACUUAAUGUGAAAUCUUUAUAACGCUGUGACAGCACCGUGGUAUGAGUCAGCACCGUGCUGCUUACACUCCACUGAAUGAAGGGAGAUGGAGGCGUAAUUUCUUUAUCACUGAAACCUGCUUUUGACAAAAUCUUAGAGUUUGGCUCCUCCUCGUAGAUAUACACGUCUAAUUGGUUGAAAGCAAGCACCAAAGCUUCAUGUGAAGAUCGGAGGCACGCCACUAUGCUGAUAUGCCCAAGUGCAUGCACCAGGAGCAUAAGAGCAGCAGUGCUCUAGUUAAUUAUGGACAGCUCCUUUAAAAGUCUCUGAGAUGUGAGCAUUUUUUGGGGGGGAGGGAGGAAACGUUGUUGCACGCAGUAGGUUAUUUCCCAGGGAAAAAACAAAAAUAUUUUUCUUAUGAGUGUUGCUCUUUCUGCAGGAAUCUCUGCAUAGAAGAUGUCAAUAUGGUGGGCAGGCUGCAGAGAAACCCACAUUGGAACAGCAUCACUGCUGGGCAAGGAGAAAGGACAAGACGUUGAUAAAACAACACUCAGUUCAGUGGGAGCACGGCGCAGUGAAAGACUGGCAGGAAUAGACUCUGUAUCCAAGACCGCUUUAAAACGAGCAGCAGGUUCUUGGAUCUGGAAGUAGAAACCACGGAGGAGCCCACAAGGAACAAGCUGGAACUCCCAGCCCUUAAAGCAGUGUGAGGUUUGUUUCCAUGGCCUUGAUAUAUGUCUGUAUACUUUGUUUUUUAAAUUAUGGCUUGGAGGCGAGAGGGGAUAUUCUUACCCCUUGGAACGGUGCCUUGUGUGAUGCAGUGAGUCAAUGUUUGAAUUUCUCAUCCAUUUUCACAUCAUCUUCCUGAGAAGCAGGGCUCACUGUGGCCCUCUGCACAGACACAGGCUUGCUGCAUUGAUUGCUCUGUGGUAGCCAUGCUCUCAGAUGGGAACUUCCCAUUUUCUGGCAUUUAAAAUUCGAGUUUCCGUUCCGGCUGAUGAUAUCUAACACUGGAGCAGUUUAAUUUUUGAAGCGUGGUAGAUCCGUGCUGGCCAGGCAGGUGCUAGCAGAGCACUGGGGGAAGCAGGUGUCUGCUUUUGUGGCUGAACGCCUGGGGAGGAGAGCUGCGUUUCCAAUCGAGGGGAUAAAGCUUUUCCCCAGGGAAAGCCAAGGAGCAAAGUUGGGGAACGCAGCACGCACCAAACGGGAGGGCACGUGAAACCCCACAGCACCGAACGGCGAACGGGGAUGCUUCCCGACCCCCGCC
RNAcentral lists this long non-coding RNA (1417 nucleotides) under Numida meleagris (helmeted guineafowl). Its description in RNAcentral is "lncRNA (ENSNMEG00000012624.1)". The record is from RNAcentral. Lineage: Eukaryota; Metazoa; Chordata; Aves; Galliformes; Numididae.